Molecule: long non-coding RNA, 369 nt
Filed under: Corvus moneduloides (New Caledonian crow)
Lineage: Eukaryota; Metazoa; Chordata; Aves; Passeriformes; Corvidae
Description: lncRNA (ENSCMUG00000018383.1)
Source: RNAcentral
AGGUUUUCUUAGUGUCUUCUCCUCCAUCUAUAGACCAGGCAGCUGCCAGCUGCAGGUGGAAAUGCUUGCUCAGAGCUCCAGGACAUAAGUGUGACUGGCUGUGAGGGGAUAUACUAAUGGGAGAAUGGUAGACUUCAUGUGGAGAAAGAGCUCCUCUCCAUAGGAUAGUUCCCUCCAGAAGCAGACAAGCAAAAACUAGCUGUGCUUCAAAGUCCUCCAGCAUCCUUCCACACCUACAUUUCCAGUAUCACCUACCAUAGUUCUUCCCAAAUGCUAUGACGAGCCUCAGUAGUGCAGCAUGAACACUACAGUGCACAGAGGAAUUCCAACACAGCCUGGAUGAGAGAGAGCCUGAAGAGGCUGGUGUCC